UUACGAGGUCAGGACACUGUGAGGGUUGACAGAUUGAAAGCUCUUUCUUGAUUCAGUGGGUGGUGGUGCAUGGCCGUUCUUAGUUGGUGGAGUGAUUUGUCUGGUUAAUUCCGUUAACGAACGAGACCUUAACCUGCUAAAUAGUCACGCGAACCGGUCCGCAAGGGCUCAAAGUUCGCGGCUCGACUUCUUAGAGGGACUAUUCGCACCCGCCAGCGAAUGGAAGUUUGAGGCAAUAACAGGUCUGUGAUACCCUUAGAUGUUCUCGGCCGCACGCGCGUUACACUGACGGAGUCAACGAGCGUUUUUCCUUGCCCGACAGGGCUGGGUAACCUCCUGAAACUCCGUCGUGAUGGGGAUAGAUCAUUGCAAUUAUUGAUCUUGAACGAGGAAUUCCUAGUAAGCGCGAGUCAUCAACUCGCGCUGAUUACGUCCCUGCCCUUUGUACACACCGCCCGUCGCUCCUACCGAUUGAACGGUCCGGCGAGAACUCCGGAUGGUC
RNAcentral lists this ribosomal RNA (502 nucleotides) under Vermamoeba vermiformis. RNAcentral's name for it is "SSU rRNA". It matches the Rfam family "Eukaryotic small subunit ribosomal RNA", at positions 1215 to 1719 of the family's 1831-position model. The record is from RNAcentral. Lineage: Eukaryota; Tubulinea; Echinamoebida; Vermamoebidae.